Molecule: long non-coding RNA, 597 nt
Organism: Hordeum vulgare subsp. vulgare (domesticated barley)
Lineage: Eukaryota; Viridiplantae; Streptophyta; Magnoliopsida; Poales; Poaceae
Exons: 2
Source: RefSeq, a predicted model, not a curated record
UUAUAGUUUAAAAUAUUUUUCCUUCAUAAUUAUUUUCCCUUGGAUACUUUUCCUUCCCUUCCCAUCGUAUAAGAGCUAACUAGGGCAAACACUCUUCCCCUCCAUGCUCUGACGGCAAGCCCAUGGAUUCUCCUCCCCUCUGCAUGUCGCCUUGGUUAGAUUAAGUUAGAUUAACUAGGCCAAACUCUUCCCCUCCAUGUUCCGACGGCAAAUCCAUGUUCCUCAGCUCCGACUAGUAGAGUCGGUGGAGCUUCCACAUGGAUUCAUGGUGUAUCCUUGGGACGGUGCGGCUAGGGUUCUUCUCGUGAUGUAUGAUGGAAAGAUCUGGUCAAAGACGCUUCUGAUCGGUUCAAUGGUUCAACGAAGACGAUUGUGUCUCCAAGAGCACUUUGUCAUCACUAUGCUAGGUUGGCUCUAGUGGGGAAGUGGCAACAGCGGCGCGUCGACGCCUUUGGCGGUGAUAGUGGUUAUUCGGUGGUCUAGAGACUUGGAUGUAAUUUCUAUUAUAUUUGGGGUGCAUUGUACUUCUGGUGAACUAUUAUAAUAGAUCUAGGACCAUUAAAAUACAAAUCAUUAGUAUCUGUGAUUCAAGAAAAA